Mya arenaria is the source of this 2017-nucleotide long non-coding RNA. RefSeq lists it as uncharacterized. NCBI's taxonomy places the organism in Eukaryota, Metazoa, Mollusca, Bivalvia, Myida, Myidae. The transcript is spliced from 3 exons. The record is from RefSeq and is a predicted model, not a curated record.
CAGUUAUUGUAGACAAUAGUCGGUAAUUUAGAGCAUAAUUUUUCAAUUUUUUUACGAUUUUUAGUGGACUAAAGUUUAAAAACUUUUUACAAAAACGAUUUGGAUCAGUGUGAUAUAGAUGUCGAUAUAGAGAAAAUAUUAUUCACCCAGUUUACCCCCCACCCCAAACUAAAGCAGACAAAACCACAACUUCAAUCAGAUGGGGCGCAACCAACACUUCUUCAAACAAAACAAGCAGCGUACGGAAUGAAAUCAAGAAAUUACGGGAAGAAGUAUCCCAAUCAACCAGGAUUGAAGGGAAAGGGCCCUCUCAAGAAAUAAAUGCUUUUAAACUUCAGUUUGAUUAGGGGAAUGCUAUAUUGAUUGCACCAAUAUGGAAGACUCAGAGCUGGUGGCCACGCUUUAUAAGCCCACUGAAUCAGGAUUGGAUUCAACUACCAUCCCCACAGAGAAUUCUACGUUUACUUCACAAACCAGAGGUUCGCCAUCCGUUGAAGCAAAUGAGGAUGGGAGCUUUUCCUAUAUCGGGGAAGCAUUACGGAAACAAGGAUUUUCAAAUUAUUCAGUGGAAGUCAUAAUAACUUCUUGGCGAACAUCAACACAGAAGACAUAUAGUUACAGUGACCAUGACCUUGACUCUAGGGACCCAAAACGCAAUCCCAUAAAAGGAAUUCAUACACUCUUCUGUUGGACCAAUUUUGGUCAUGAUAUGUGAACCGUGACUUAGAAGUCAUUGAGUUUCAACCCUUUUUCUAUUUUUAGUAACAGCAACCAUAACCUUGACUCAAGGGGCCCCAAACACAAUCCCAUGAAAAUUAUCCAUAAACUCUUCAUAUAGACUAAGUUUGGUCAAGAUAUGACAAUUGAUACUGAAAUUAUUCAGUUUCAACUGUUUUACUAUUAUAAGUAUCAGUGACCUUUAUCCUUGACCAUAGGGACCCCAAACACUGUAUCCCAUGAAAAGUAUCUAUACACUCUUCCUUUAUACCAAGUUGGGUCAAGAUAAGUCCACCUUAACUAAAAUUAAUCAGUUUCAAUUGUUUUUCUAUUUUUAGUUACAGUGACCUUGACCCUAAGGUCACUUAACACAAUCCCAUGAAAGGUAUCCAUAUACUCCUCCUUUAUACCAAGUUGGGUAAAAAAAAAUGGCAACCAUAACUAAAGUUAUUCAGUUUCAAUUGUUUUUUUCUGUUUUUAGUAACAGUGACCUUGACCUUAACUCUAGAGACCCAAAACGCAGUCCAAUGAAAGGUAUUCAAUAACUCUUCCUUUAUACCAAGUUUCAACUGUUUAUCUAUUUUUAGAAACAGUGACCUUGUCCUUGAUCCUAGGGGCCCAAUACACAAUCCCAUGAAAGGUAUCCAUACACUCUUAAAUUACCAGGUUUGGACAAGAUAUAUUUGAACCAUGACUUAGAAGUUAUUCAGUUUCAACCGUUUGUCUAUUUUUAGUAAUAGUGACCAUGAACUUGAAUCUAGGGACCCCAAACGCAAUCCCAUGAAAGGUAUCCAUAAACUCUUCCUUUAGACCAAGUUUGGUCAAGGUAUGUGAAUCGUGACUUGGAAGUUAUUUAGUUUCAACUGUUUUUCUAUUUGAGUAACAGUGACUUUGACCUUGACUGGAAGGACCCCAAACGCAAUUCCAUGAAAGGUAUUCAUAAACUCUUCCUAUAGAUUGAGCUUGUUCAAGAUAUGUCAACCCUUACUUAAAUUAUUCAGUUUCAUAGGUGAGUUUGUUGCCGCCAGGCCACCCGCCCGGACACCCUCCCGCCAGAACAACUUCUGUGUGAAAUUUGAGAUAUUUUAAGUUCGUAGAUCACUGACAUUUGAUAUAUUCAGCAUAUUUUAUAAUUGUUUUUCUUCAUUCCAUCAUUCUGCAUGCCUCUGCAUCAAUAUGUUAUAUUAAUUUAUAAUUGCUUUUAAAUAUUUAUCUUAACUGUGAUCUAUUCAAAUGUGUCUUCCUGUUAUGGAGCACCCUUUUCUGCAAGGGGCCACAAUAAAGAUAAAGGAUUCUUAAA